UGUUAGUUGAUUUUCUCAUUGUUGAAGUCCAUACAGUAACAUGCAACUUCAUUUGGUCUCUGUAGGAUAGUUGUCUCGCAUCUCUUCUUUUCAUAACAAAUCAAUUUGUAGGUUCUAUAAAGUGGGCCCAUGACGAAGGUAAGGGAAAUUUUGACUGCCAACUGAGAGGAGGAUAUGUUGGACAGAAAUUAAGCCUUGCAACAGGCCACCUACUGACCCCUCAAAGACUUAUGGCAAGGGUUCUUUACGUGCAGAGUGGCACUGUCCCUACACAUAUAGGAACUAUACUUUUUAAAUUGCCAUUCCAAUUUUUGUUUGUUUUAAACAUGAAAACAUAAGAAGACUUUAAGGUGGGGGUCAUAAAAAAUAUUGCAAUAAUCCCACCUUUUACACCACCCUCAAUGUUUAUUAUCUAGAACUCUGUUUAAAAACGAUUUUGUUUUCAUAUAUUAUUUUUUGGUAUUUUCUUUUUUUAUAUUUUUUUUACAGAGCUCUAAAUAAUAAAAAUAUCAGAUGUUAAAGGUUAGAGGUAUUAACAAAGUCAUUCUUAUUCAGAAUAUUGCAAAAUUUUAAUGUUAGUUGAUUUUCUCAUUGUUGAAGUCCAUACAGUAACAUGCAACUUCAUUUGGUCUCUGUAGGAUAGUUGUCUUGCAUCUCUUCUUUUCAUAACAAAUCAAUUUGUAGGUUCUAUAAAGUGGGCCGAUGAUGAAGGUAAGGGAAAUUUUGACUGCCAACUGAGAGGAGGAUAUGUUGGACAGAAAUAAAGCCUUGCAACAGGCCACCUACUGACCCCUCAAAGAGUUGUGGCAAGGGUUCUUUAACGUGCAGAGUGGCACUGUCCCUACACAUAUAGGAACUAUACUUUUUAAAUUGCCAUUCCAAUUUUUGUUUGUUUUAAACAUGAUAACUUUAGAAGACUUUAAAGUGGGGGUCAUAAAAAAUAUUGCAAUAAUCCCACCUUUUACACCACCCUCAAUGUUUAUUAUCUAGAACUCUGUUUAAAAACGAUUUUGUUUUCAUAUAUUAUUUUUUGGUAUUUUCUUUUUUUAUAUUUUUUUUACAGAGCUCUAGAUAAUAAAAAUAUCAGAUGUUAAAGGUUAGAGGUAUUAACAAAGUCAUUCUAAUUCAGAAUAUUGCAAAAUUUUAAUGUUAGUUGAUUUUCUCAUUGUUGAAGUCCAUACAGUAACAUGCAACUUCAUUUGGUCUCUGUAGGAUAGUUGUCUCGCAUCUCUUCUUUUCAUAACAAAUCAAUUUGUAGGUUCUAUAAA
Mytilus californianus (California mussel) is the source of this 1268-nucleotide long non-coding RNA. RefSeq lists it as uncharacterized. The transcript is spliced from 6 exons. Lineage: Eukaryota; Metazoa; Mollusca; Bivalvia; Mytilida; Mytilidae. The record is from RefSeq and is a predicted model, not a curated record.